Molecule: long non-coding RNA, 890 nt
Filed under: Rattus norvegicus (Norway rat)
Lineage: Eukaryota; Metazoa; Chordata; Mammalia; Rodentia; Muridae
Description: long non-coding RNA NONRATT030876
Source: RNAcentral
GUCGAUGCCAAGAGGGUCGCGAUGGGGAACCGGGGGGCUAGGGCAGUACCUUAGGCCCAAUCGAGUCGCCCCUGCUGUCUUUCCGAAGCAGGCACAGAUUCCGUUCGCAGCCUUCGGCAUGGCAGAACCUGAGUCAUUGGUGCCUGAUACGGGUGCUGUAUUUACAUUUGGAAAAACUAAAUUUGCUGAAAACAUUCCUAGCAAAUUCUGGUUUAAAAAUGACGUACCCAUAUGUCUUUCAUGUGGAGAUGAACAUACUGCUAUUGUUACAGGAAAUAAUAAAUUGUACAUGUUUGGCAGUAACAACUGGGGCCAGUUAGGAUUAGGAUCAAAAUCAGCUAUCAGCAAGCCAACAUGUAUCAAAGCUCUUAAGCCUGAAAAGGUGAAACUUGCUGCGUGUGGAAGAAACCAUACCUUAGUUUCAACAGAUACUGGUGGUGUAUAUGCAGCUGGUGGAAAUAAUGAAGGCCAAUUGGGGCUUGGUGACACUGAUGACAGAGAUACCUUUCAUCAAAUUGGCUUCUUUACACCUAGUGAUAUCAUUAAACAGCUCUCUGCUGGUGCUAAUACAUCAGCUGCUCUAACUGAGGAUGGAAAACUUUUUAUGUGGGGAGACAAUUCUGAAGGGCAGAUCGGUUUGAAAAAUAAAAGUAAUGUAUGUAUCCCUCACGAAGUGACUGUCGGUAAGCCAAUUUCAUGGAUCUCCUGUGGAUAUUACCAUUCAGCUUUUGUAACAACGGAUGGGGAGCUGUACACAUUUGGAGAACCUGAGAAUGGAAAGUUGGGCCUUCCCAACCAGCUGCUGAUCAAUCACAGAUCUCCCCAGCGUGUGCUGGGGAUUCCUGACAAGGUGAUUCAAGUAGCGUGUGGUGGAGGGCACACUGUGGUUC